Molecule: long non-coding RNA, 1180 nt
Organism: Megalobrama amblycephala (Wuchang bream)
Lineage: Eukaryota; Metazoa; Chordata; Actinopteri; Cypriniformes; Xenocyprididae
Exons: 3
Source: RefSeq, a predicted model, not a curated record
GGACUGAUAACUCUGUGGAGCAGACAGAUGAUCAUGUGACUUAUGCUGAGGUCAUACACAGUAAAAACCAAGACCAAAAGAAGAAGGUUCGCUGUGAUGAUAAAGUGACUUAUGCUUCCAUCAGAGGAGCGACAGCUGGUGCUCAGGAAAACUACAGUGAACUUUAUGCCUCUGUGAACAAGAUCCAUCACAAAUCACAUGAGCAGAAGAAUAAUGAACUUUGUAUAAUUAACUUCUAAUGGUUUUAUUCAUUGUACAUACUUUUAAUGUCUUUUAUAUUUUAAGAAACAAACCACCCACAAAAGUGGAGCUCUGAUUUAUCUGUAGUUAUUAUUGGUAUUUUGGUCAGUUUGAUGUUUUAUAGUAUCUGUCUGCUUGUUGGUCAGUCAAUUCUAAUGCCUUUAUUAUUAAUUCAGGGUCUGCAGGAUAGAAAAUAGAGGACAGUUUUACUGACGUAGAUGAUUCUCAUUAAAUCGUGUAUUUUCUCGAGCAGCUUAUCACAGUAUGACAGGAAUGAUAAUUUGGUAUUUGAACCAUUUGAGCAGCUGCUUUCAGCAAUGCUUGUAGUAUUAUAUUUGUCAAUAACAAAAUAGCCUGUCAAAUGUGUGUAUUUAUAGUGAAAUAUAUUUUUCAUCAGUACACAUAUUUUCUUGUGCAGACUCUGUAGACGUGAAACGUGACCUCCUGAGGAUCCUUUGAUUGCAGUGUUUCCUAAUCUGGGGGUCGCUAAAGAUUGACGAGGGGUCGUCAAGCUCACUCUAGCUUGAGGGUUUGGGAUGAAACGGUUUCUAUGGGGUUUGGGAUGAAACGGUUUCCAUAGAAACUACCUUUUAGCUAGUUGUCUAAAGGUGUGUUCACACCAGACGCGAAUGAAGUGUUAAGCGUGAGUGAUUUACAUGUUAAGUCAAUGCAAAGAAGCAAAUAGACAUCCGGCGGCGCUAAUGAAGCGAUUCACGCGAAUGAUGCAGAACGAAUUGAGCAUUUCAGGCGUUUGACGCGCGAAACGUGCAAGUUGAAAAAAACUGAACUUUGGCGAAAAUUCGCGCCGCGUUAACCAAUUAGGAGCUUGCUCUUGUGACGUGACGUAACGAGCUGAGGCAGAAAUCCGAAACAACAAUGGAGGACAAAAUCACCGUCGCUGUACAUCUUCAUAUUUUUGUAGAAACAGGAAUAAAAAGAG